Small nucleolar RNA from Rhododendron vialii, 81 nucleotides. RefSeq annotates it as small nucleolar RNA snoR53Y. The transcript has a single exon. The record is from RefSeq and is a predicted model, not a curated record. NCBI's taxonomy places the organism in Eukaryota, Viridiplantae, Streptophyta, Magnoliopsida, Ericales, Ericaceae.
GUUCUUUGUGAUGUUUAUGACCAUGCUAAUUUAGAUCAUUUGUUGAUCGAAUACUUCUUCGUCUUAUCUUCUGAGGGAACA